RNAcentral lists this ribosomal RNA (1364 nucleotides) under uncultured prokaryote. RNAcentral's name for it is "partial 16S ribosomal RNA". It matches the Rfam family "Bacterial small subunit ribosomal RNA", at positions 46 to 1397 of the family's 1533-position model. The record is from RNAcentral.
GGAUGAGGCAUGCAAGUCGAACGUGAAAACCCUCGGGUGAGUAGCGUGGCGGACGGGCGAGUAACACGUAAUCAAGCUACCUGCCAGACGGGGAUAACUCCGGGAAACCGGAGCUAAUACCGGAUGGUCUCACGAGAUCGCAUGGUCAUGUGAGUAAAUGGACGGGAUCCUUCGGGAUCGUCUGCUGGCAGAGGUGAUUGCGGCCCAUCAGUUUGUUGGUAGGGUAAUGGCCUACCAAGACUACGACGGGUAGCCGGCCUAAGAGGGUGGUCGGUCGCACUGGGACUGAGACACUGCCCAGACUCCUACGGGAGGCUGCAGUCGAGAAUCUUCCGCAAUGGGCGAAAGCCUGACGGAGCGACGCCGCGUGGAGGACGAAGGCCCUCGGGUUGUAAACUCCUGUCACGAGUUAAGAAGGCUGUAUGGCUAAUAGCUGUGCAGCUUGACGUAAGCUCGAGAGGAAGCACUGGCUAACUCUGUGCCAGCAGCCGCGGUAAUACAGAGAGUGCGAACGUUGUUCGGAAUUACUGGGCUUAAAGCGCGCGUAGGCGGCAUUACAAGUGUCAGGUGAAAUCCCACGGCUCACCCGUGGAACUGCCCGGCAAACUGUAAAGCUAGAGUGUGGUAGGGGAGAACAGAACUCAUGGUGGAGCGGUGAAAUGCGUAGAUAUCAUGAGGAAUACCGGUGGCGAAGGCGGUUCUCUGGUCCACAACUGACGCUGAGGUGCGAAAGCUAGGGUAGCGAACGGGAUUAGAUACCCCGGUAGUCCUAGCCGUAAACGAUGGGUACUAGCUAUUGGGAGUAUCGACCCUCCCGGUGCCGUUUUAUAGAGCUAACGCGUUAAGUGUGCCGCCUGGGUAGUACGAUCGCAAGAUUAAAACUCAAAGGAAUAGACGGGGACCCGCACAAGCGGAGGAUCAUGUGGUUUAAUUCGAUAUCACGCGGCAAACCUCACCUAGGCUUGACAUGUCACUGCAAGCUCCAAGAAACUGGAGCCGCUUUCGAAGGUGUGACACAGGUGCUGCAUGGUUGCCGUCAGCUCGUGCCGUGAGGUGUACCCUUAAGUGGGGUAACGAGCGCAACCCUCGUGUUGUGUUAAAUUGUACACAACAGACUGCCUACGCAAGUAGGAGGAAGGCGGGGACGACGUCAAAUCAGCAUGGCUCUUACGCCUAGGGCUGCACACAUGAUACAAUGGCCGGUACAGAGGGUAGUUAACCCGCGAGGGGGAACCAAUCCCAGAAAACCGGCCCCAGUUCGGAUUGUAGGCUGCAACUCGCCUACAUGAAGUUGGAUUCGCUAGUAAACGCGCAUCAGCAACGGCGCGUUGAAUACGUUCUCGGGUCUUGUACACACCGCCCGU